Callorhinus ursinus (northern fur seal) is the source of this 564-nucleotide long non-coding RNA. RefSeq lists it as uncharacterized. The record is from RefSeq and is a predicted model, not a curated record. Lineage: Eukaryota; Metazoa; Chordata; Mammalia; Carnivora; Otariidae.
UUGAGUUGACAGAAAGCAAUUCAGAACAAGCACAAAACCUGGAAGCAAAUAUCACACACCCGGUUUAUUGACCUUGGCUCGUCUAGAGAUGAGGACGUGAGCUGCGUUUCUGUCUUCGGCGCUGAGUGGGACCACUUUUACAGUAGAAGAUGUAUACCAGGAGGAGAGUGUGAGCCAGGAACAUCGAGUAUGGGAUGAGGAAGGCCAAAGGAGUCAAAGAAACUUCGAGCACUUCCCAUGUGGAGGGAUGGAGAAGUGGAAGCCUUCUCCCCUCGCACAAGCCCUGUUGGUGCCGUCACUGGGGAGAGGCGUGUGGACAGUGGCAGGAGGGACGGCCACUGCGAACUGUGAGUUUGUACCCAUGAUAGUGAGAUGGUGUUCCGUUGUUCUGUGUGAUAGCUGCCUGUGCCCGUCCACCAUCUCUGGCUUGCUUUAUCUCAUGAUUCCGUUUCUCCCUUGAUGGAUGGAAGGUUCGCUCCCUUGGAUGGCUGUUAAAAUGGCUUUCUUGGUCAGGGAAUGUGUCUUUGUUCAGCCCUCAUUUUCAAAGAAUUUUUUCCUUGGUGU